UUAACACAUGCAAGUCGAGGGGCAGCAUGGUCUUAGCUUGCUAAGGCCGAUGGCGACCGGCGCACGGGUGAGUAACACGUAUCCAACCUGCCGUCUACUCUUGGACAGCCUUCUGAAAGGAAGAUUAAUACAAGAUGGCAUCAUGAGUCCGCAUGUUCACAUGAUUAAAGGUAUUCCGGUAGACGAUGGGGAUGCGUUCCAUUAGAUAGUAGGCGGGGUAACGGCCCACCUAGUCUUCGAUGGAUAGGGGUUCUGAGAGGAAGGUCCCCCACAUUGGAACUGAGACACGGUCCAAACUCCUACGGGAGGCAGCAGUGAGGAAUAUUGGUCAAUGGGCGAGAGCCUGAACCAGCCAAGUAGCGUGAAGGAUGACUGCCCUAUGGGUUGUAGACUUCUUUUAUAAAGGAAUAAAGUCGGGUAUGGAUACCCGUUUGCAUGUACUUUAUGAAUAAGGAUCGGCUAACUCCGUGCCAGCAGCCGCGGUAAUACGGAGGAUCCGAGCGUUAUCCGGAUUUAUUGGGUUUAAAGGGAGCGUAGAUGGAUGUUUAAGUCAGUUGUGAAAGUUUGCGGCUCAACCGUAAAAUUGCAGUUGAUACUGGAUAUCUUGAGUGCAGUUGAGGCAGGCGGAAUUCGUGGUGUAGCGGUGAAAUGCUUAGAUAUCACGAAGAACUCCGAUUGCGAAGGCAGCCUGCUAAGCUGCAACUGACAUUGAGGCUCGAAAGUGUGGGUAUCAAACAGGAUUAGAUACCCUGGUAGUCCACACGGUAAACGAUGAAUACUCGCUGUUUGCGAUAUACUGCAAGCGGCCAAGCGAAAGCGUUAAGUAUUCCACCUGGGGAGUACGCCGGCAACGGUGAAACUCAAAGGAAUUGACGGGGGCCCGCACAAGCGGAGGAACAUGUGGUUUAAUUCGAUGAUACGCGAGGAACCUUACCCGGGCUUAAAUUGCAGAUGAAUUACGGUGAAAGCCGUAAGCCGCAAGGCAUCUGUGAAGGUGCUGCAUGGUUGUCGUCAGCUCGUGCCGUGAGGUGUCGGCUUAAGUGCCAUAACGAGCGCAACCCUUGUUGUCAGUUACUAACAGGUCAUGCUGAGGACUCUGACAAGACUGCCAUCGUAAGAUGUGAGUAAGGUGGGGAUGACGUCAAAUCAGCACGGCCCUUACGUCCGGGGCUACACACGUGUUACAAUGGGGGGUACAGAGGGCCGCUACCACGCGAGUGGAUGCCAAUCCCCAAAACCUCUCUCAGUUCGGACUGGAGUCUGCAACCCGACUCCACGAAGCUGGAUUCGCUAGUAAUCGCGCAUCAGCCACGGCGCGGUGAAUACGUUCCCGGGCCUUGUACACACUGCCCGUCAAGCCAUGGGAGCCGGGGGUACCUGAAGUGCGUAACCGCGAGGAGCGCCCUAGGGUAAAACUGGUGACUGGGGC
This 1429-nucleotide ribosomal RNA is filed under the name uncultured organism. RNAcentral's name for it is "16S ribosomal RNA". It matches the Rfam family "Bacterial small subunit ribosomal RNA". The record is from RNAcentral.